Molecule: transfer RNA, 68 nt
Filed under: Phelsuma serraticauda
Lineage: Eukaryota; Metazoa; Chordata; Lepidosauria; Squamata; Gekkonidae
Description: tRNA-Ala
Source: RNAcentral
AAGGCCUGUAAAACUCUAAUUUACAACUCUUGAUUGCAAUUCAAACACUUUCAUUAAGCUAAAGCCUC